Molecule: ribosomal RNA, 2333 nt
Filed under: Salmonella enterica subsp. enterica serovar Okatie
Lineage: Bacteria; Pseudomonadati; Pseudomonadota; Gammaproteobacteria; Enterobacterales; Enterobacteriaceae
Description: partial 23S ribosomal RNA
Rfam family: Bacterial large subunit ribosomal RNA
Source: RNAcentral
ACAAGCAGAGGGGGCUUAGUGGUGGGGUGACUGCGUACCUUUUGUAUAAUGGGUCAGCGACUUAUAUUCUGUAGCAAGGUUAACCGUAUAGGGGAGCCGCAGGGAAACCGAGUCUUAACCGGGCGUUAAGUUGCAGGGUAUAGACCCGAAACCCGGUGAUCUAGCCAUGGGCAGGUUGAAGGUUGGGUAACACUAACUGGAGGACCGAACCGACUAAUGUUGAAAAAUUAGCGGAUGACCUGUGGCUGGGGGUGAAAGGCCAAUCAAACCGGGAGAUAGCUGGUUCUCCCCGAAAGCUAUUUAGGUAGCGCCUCGUGAAUUCAUCUCCGGGGGUAGAGCACUGUUUCGGCUAGGGGGCCAUCCCGGCUUACCAACCCGAUGCAAACUGCGAAUACCGGAGAAUGUUAUCACGGGAGACACACGGCGGGUGCUAACGUCCGUCGUGAAGAGGGAAACAACCCAGACCGCCAGCUAAGGUCCCAAAGUCAUGGUUAAGUGGGAAACGAUGUGGGAAGGCCCAGACAGCCAGGAUGUUGGCUUAGAAGCAGCCAUCAUUUAAAGAAAGCGUAAUAGCUCACUGGUCGAGUCGGCCUGCGCGGAAGAUGUAACGGGGCUAAACCAUGCACCGAAGCUGCGGCAGCGAACGUAUCACUUAAAGCGAUUCAGCGGGUUACGAUUGACGAAGCGAAGCGACGUCAAAGCGUAUACAAAGUCGAGUCGGUUUAAGGAUACGUUCGUUGGGUAGGGGAGCGUUCUGUAAGCCUGUGAAGGUGUGUCGUGAGGCAUGCUGGAGGUAUCAGAAGUGCGAAUGCUGACAUAAGUAACGAUAAAGCGGGUGAAAAGCCCGCUCGCCGGAAGACCAAGGGUUCCUGUCCAACGUUAAUCGGGGCAGGGUGAGUCGACCCCUAAGGCGAGGCCGAAAGGCGUAGUCGAUGGGAAACGGGUUAAUAUUCCCGUACUUGGUGUUACUGCGAAGGGGGGACGGAGAAGGCUAUGUUGGCCGGGCGACGGUUGUCCCGGUUUAAGCGUGUAGGUGUGUGUUCCAGGUAAAUCCGGUUCACUUUAACACUGAGGCGUGACGACGAGGCACUACGGUGCUGAAGCAACAAAUGCCCUGCUUCCAGGAAAAGCCUCUAAGCAUCAGGUAACAUCAAAUCGUACCCCAAACCGACACAGGUGGUCAGGUAGAGAAUACCAAGGCGCUUGAGAGAACUCGGGUGAAGGAACUAGGCAAAAUGGUGCCGUAACUUCGGGAGAAGGCACGCUGACACGUAGGUGAAGUGAUUUACUCAUGGAGCUGAAGUCAGUCGAAGAUACCAGCUGGCUGCAACUGUUUAUUAAAAACACAGCACUGUGCAAACACGAAAGUGGACGUAUACGGUGUGACGCCUGCCCGGUGCCGGAAGGUUAAUUGAUGGGGUCAGCGCAAGCGAAGCUCCUGAUCGAAGCCCCGGUAAACGGCGGCCGUAACUAUAACGGUCCUAAGGUAGCGAAAUUCCUUGUCGGGUAAGUUCCGACCUGCACGAAUGGCGUAAUGAUGGCCAGGCUGUCUCCACCCGAGACUCAGUGAAAUUGAACUCGCUGUGAAGAUGCAGUGUACCCGCGGCAAGACGGAAAGACCCCGUGAACCUUUACUAUAGCUUGACACUGAACAUUGAGCCUUGAUGUGUAGGAUAGGUGGGAGGCUUUGAAGCGUGGACGCCAGUCUGCGUGGAGCCAACCUUGAAAUACCACCCUUUAAUGUUUGAUGUUCUAACGUGGACCCGUUACCCGGGUUGCGGACAGUGUCUGGUGGGUAGUUUGACUGGGGCGGUCUCCUCCUAAAGAGUAACGGAGGAGCACGAAGGUUGGCUAAUCCUGGUCGGACAUCAGGAGGUUAGUGCAAUGGCAUAAGCCAGCUUGACUGCGAGCGUGACGGCGCGAGCAGGUGCGAAAGCAGGUCAUAGUGAUCCGGUGGUUCUGAAUGGAAGGGCCAUCGCUCAACGGAUAAAAGGUACUCCGGGGAUAACAGGCUGAUACCGCCCAAGAGUUCAUAUCGACGGCGGUGUUUGGCACCUCGAUGUCGGCUCAUCACAUCCUGGGGCUGAAGUAGGUCCCAAGGGUAUGGCUGUUCGCCAUUUAAAGUGGUACGCGAGCUGGGUUUAGAACGUCGUGAGACAGUUCGGUCCCUAUCUGCCGUGGGCGCUGGAGAACUGAGGGGGGCUGCUCCUAGUACGAGAGGACCGGAGUGGACGCAUCACUGGUGUUCGGGUUGUCAUGCCAAUGGCACUGCCCGGUAGCUAAAUGCGGAAGAGAUAAGUGCUGAAAGCAUCUAAGCACGAAACUUGCCCCGA